Molecule: ribosomal RNA, 450 nt
Filed under: uncultured bacterium
Lineage: Bacteria
Description: partial 16S ribosomal RNA
Rfam family: Bacterial small subunit ribosomal RNA
Source: RNAcentral
GUGGGGAAUCUUCCGCAAUGGACGAAAGUCUGACGGAGCGACGCCGCGUGAGUGAAGAAGGCCUUCGGGUCGUAAAGCUCUGUCAUCAGGGACGAACGGCCGGUGGAGUGGAAAGCCAUCGGAUUGACGGUACCUGAGAAGGAAGCCACGGCUAACUACGUGCCAGCAGCCGCGGUAAUACGUAGGUGGCAAGCGUUGUCCGGAAUUAUUGGGCGUAAAGCGCGCGCAGGUGGGAUCUUAAGUCCAUUUUUAAAGUUCGGAGCUCAACUCCGUGAUGGGAUGGAAACUGGGAUUCUUGAGUACCGGAGAGGAAAGCGGAAUUCCCCGUGUAGCGGUGAAAUGCGUAGAGAUUUGGAAGAACACCAGUGGCGAAGGCGACUUUCUGGACGAUGUCUGACGCUGAGGCGCGAAAGCUAGGGGAGCGAACGGGAUUAGAAACCCCUGUAGUCC